AGUGGCAGACGGGUGAGUAACGCGUGGGAACGUACCCCUCGGUUCGGAAUAACUCAGGGAAACUUGAGCUAAUACCGGAUACGGCCGAGAGGCGAAAGAUUUAUCGCCGAGGGAUCGGCCCGCGUCCGAUUAGCUAGUUGGUGAGGUAACGGCUCACCAAGGCGACGAUCGGUAGCUGGUCUGAGAGGAUGAUCAGCCACAUUGGGACUGAGACACGGCCCAAACUCCUACGGGAGGCAGCAGUGGGGAAUAUUGGACAAUGGGCGAAAGCCUGAUCCAGCCAUGCCGCGUGAGUGAUGAAGGCCUUAGGGUUGUAAAGCUCUUUCGUCAGGGACGAUAAUGACGGUACCUGAAGAAGAAGCCCCGGCUAACUUCGUGCCAGCAGCCGCGGUAAUACGAAGGGGGCUAGCGUUGUUCGGAAUCACUGGGCGUAAAGCGCAUGUAGGCGGGUCUUUAAGUCAGGGGUGAAAUGCCAAGGCUCAACCUUGGAACUGCCUUUGA
Molecule: ribosomal RNA, 501 nt
Filed under: uncultured bacterium
Lineage: Bacteria
Description: bacterial SSU rRNA
Rfam family: Bacterial small subunit ribosomal RNA
Source: RNAcentral